GAACGCACAUUGCGCCCCUUGGUAUUCCGAGGGGCAUGCCUGUUCGAGCGUCAUUAUAACCAAUCCAGCCUGUCUGGGUCUUGGGCAUCGCCAUCCGGCGGGCCUUAAAAUCAGUGGCGGUGCUGCCAGGCUCUAAGCGUAGUAAAUACCUCGCUAUAGGGUCUUGGUGGAGGCUUGCCAACAACCCCCAACUUCUUAGGUUGACCUCGGAUCAGGUAGGGAUACCCGCUGAACUUA
RNAcentral lists this unclassified non-coding RNA (237 nucleotides) under Trichopeziza mollissima. RNAcentral's name for it is "sequence contains 5.8S rRNA gene". The stretch from base 1 to 53 matches the Rfam family "5.8S ribosomal RNA", at positions 102 to 154 of the family's 154-position model. The record is from RNAcentral. Lineage: Eukaryota; Fungi; Ascomycota; Leotiomycetes; Helotiales; Tricladiaceae.